AAUCAAUCGUUUAGAAAAAAAGUUACACGUAUUUUACUAAAGAGUAGUUUAUCUGACGCGCAAGAGGAAGCUGUCGAGAUUCUGAUGUGGUGUCGAGCGACACCCAACCUGUUCGGAAACCGCCUCAUGAUUUAAUAAAGUUUUAAUAAUUGCAAUUUGGCUCAAAGUUUCAUGUAUUUGCACAUGAGUCUCUGAACGUGUUUUAACCUAUAUUUACUAUUUUCUAGCUGUUGUUUAGGCUAAGCUAUGUUUGAGAUUGGAGAGAAGAGAAGAACUCAACUGAGAUACUUUUUGUCAAGUAUUUCUAUCUACUAUAUAUAUGCAGUUUAUUCAUUGAUUUGUUGUCUUCCAUGAUUAUGUCUGAGUAACCAACAUGUUAGUUUAGGAAUUUUCUAGGAUUUGUGACGAACUGUUUAUUGAUAGAUAUACUAGGGUAACCUUAUCUUAUUCUACACCAGGAUUGUUUAUUAUAGCAUGAUCUAAAGUAGCUAACGGAUAUAAAGUAGCUAACUAGAACCUAGAAUCAUACGACAAUUGAGAGACACGAGAGUAUAAUCGAUUGACAAAACCUAAUCAUGUUGGACUAAAUACUUAUUCACAAUUAGAGUUAGUCUAGGUAUUUAGUUGAACUAUAUCGAAUUGGACCUAACGUUUGCUUGAUUCAUUGAAUUCAAAAUGAGAGUUGGUAUUUGAUUAGAGUUAAACGUCUGAUAGUCUUUUGCAGCGAGAGUUGGAAAACUUACUAGUUGCAUUCGAGUUAUGGAAUCAAACCUAAUUAAACAUGUGUCACCUAUUGAUUUUGGUUUUGAAUUCA
RNAcentral lists this long non-coding RNA (814 nucleotides) under Brassica napus (rape). Its description in RNAcentral is "long non-coding RNA (BNAP_LNC004506)". Lineage: Eukaryota; Viridiplantae; Streptophyta; Magnoliopsida; Brassicales; Brassicaceae. The record is from RNAcentral.